This 85-nucleotide transfer RNA is filed under the name Felis catus (domestic cat). It matches the Rfam family "tRNA". From Rfam's summary of the family: Transfer RNA (tRNA) molecules are approximately 80 nucleotides in length. Their secondary structure includes four short double-helical elements and three loops (D, anti-codon, and T loops). The record is from Rfam by way of RNAcentral. RNAcentral also lists the same sequence under 1 other name. Lineage: Eukaryota; Metazoa; Chordata; Mammalia; Carnivora; Felidae.
GCCUGGAUGGCUCAGUCGGUUGAGCAUCCGACUUUGGCUUAGGUCAUGAUCUCGCAGUUUGUGAGUUCGAGUCCCACGUUGGGCU